CCCGGCUUCGGCCGGGCAAUAUGAUAAAUUUGGAACGAUACAGAGAAGAUUAGCAUUUCCCCAGCAUAUGGAUGAAACAAGUAAUUGUUCAGAGAGGCGACCUUCGGGUCGAAUUAUUUUU
Trichosporon asahii var. asahii CBS 8904 is the source of this 121-nucleotide non-coding RNA. The record is from Rfam. NCBI's taxonomy places the organism in Eukaryota, Fungi, Basidiomycota, Tremellomycetes, Trichosporonales, Trichosporonaceae.